Molecule: ribosomal RNA, 334 nt
Filed under: Escherichia coli
Lineage: Bacteria; Pseudomonadati; Pseudomonadota; Gammaproteobacteria; Enterobacterales; Enterobacteriaceae
Description: bacterial SSU rRNA
Rfam family: Bacterial small subunit ribosomal RNA
Source: RNAcentral
AAAUUGAAGAGUUUGAUCAUGGCUCAGAUUGAACGCUGGCGGCAGGCCUAACACAUGCAAGUCGAACGGUAACAGGAAGAAGCUUGCUUCUUUGCUGACGAGUGGCGGACGGGUGAGUAAUGUCUGGGAAACUGCCUGAUGGAGGGGGAUAACUACUGGAAACGGUAGCUAAUACCGCAUAACGUCGCAAGACCAAAGAGGGGGACCUUCGGGCCUCUUGCCAUCGGAUGUGCCCAGAUGGGAUUAGCUUGUUGGUGGGGUAACGGCUCACCAAGGCGACGAUCCCUAGCUGGUCUGAGAGGAUGACCAGCCACACUGGAACUGAGACACGGUC